Molecule: long non-coding RNA, 2404 nt
Filed under: Homo sapiens (human)
Lineage: Eukaryota; Metazoa; Chordata; Mammalia; Primates; Hominidae
Description: HSALNT0149131
Source: RNAcentral
GAUUAAAUCAUCUUCCACCAGGCCCCACCUUUAACAUUCCAAUUACAAUCCCACAUGAGUUUUGGUAGGGACACAGCGCUGAAUUUUAUUAUUCUUUCCCUCACUCCCCAAAUCUCAUGUCCUUCUCACAUUGCAAAAUACAAUGAUGCCUUCCCUAAAGUCUCAUAAAAUCUUAUAUCAUUCCAGCAUUUAUACAAAUGUCCAAAGCCUAAAGUCUCAUCUGACACAAGGCUACAGUCCCUUAGGCCCAUGAGCCUCUGAAAUAUAAAGCAAGUUAACUACUUCCAAGGUACAAUGCUUGUACAGGCAUUGGGUAAGCAUUCCCAGCCAAAAGGAAGAAUUUUGCCAGAAAAAAAACAAAACACAGAUAGGACUUACUGGCCCCAUGAAACUCCAAACCCAGAAGGCCAGUCAUUCAAUCCUACAGCUCCAAAAUCACCCUUUUUGAAACCCUGUCCCACAUCCAGGACACAGGGGUGUGAGGGCUGGGCUCCCAAGGCCUCGGGCAGCUUGGCACCUGUGGCUUUGCAGGGUAUAUGCCCCAAGGGUGCCCUCAUGGGCUGGGCUGGUGAUGAGUGCCUGUGACUUUUCCACAUUGAGGAAACAAGUUUUGGGGGGGGGUCUAUGAAUCUGGGGUCUGCAUGAUGGUGGUCUCCAGUGUGGGAGUUCCAACCCCAUAUUUUCCUUCUGCACUGCCCUAGUAGAAGUUUCAUAUAAGGCUCUGCCUUUUUGGGAUGUUUUGCCUGGACACCCAGGAAUUUCCAUACAUCUUCCAAAAUCUAUAGAGAGGUUUCCAAGCCUCUAGUCUCACACUCCGUCCACCAGUGGCUUAACACUAUGAGGAUGUUACCAAGGCUUCUAGCCUGCAUCCUCUGAAGCAGUGACCUGAGCUGUACCUGUGCAUCUUUCAGCCAUGGCUGGAGCUUGAGCUGCAGGGAUGCAGGCAGCAGUGUUCUGAGGCUGCACAUAGAGGAGGCUCAUGGAACUGGCCAAGGAAACCAUGCUUCUCUCCUAGGCCCCAGGGCCUACAAUAGCAAGGGCUGCUGCAAAGGUCUCUGAAAUGCCUUCAAGGCCUUUUUCCCUAUUAUCUUGUCUAUUAGCACCGGGCUCCUUUUCAUGCAAGUUUCUGAAGCCUUCCUCAAUUUUCCCCCUGAAAAUCAGCUUUUCUUUUUGACCACUUGGCCAGGCUCCAAAUUUUCCUAAAUUUGAGUUCUGAGAGACGGGACUCAUUUAAUGUAAGUCCCAUCCAGAGGUCAUUUCCUCCAUCACACAUAAGAGCACAGGCUGUUCCAUGGGGACAGGACACCUCUUGAGAUUUGCUGCCCAGUUCAUUCCACCAGAUACUCAGUAAGUCAUCACCCUCAAGUUCAGUUUCACAGAUCUCCAGGGCAGGGUCACCGUGCAGCCACAUUCUUUGUUAAGGCAAAACAAAAGUCACUUUGGCUUCUGUUCCCAGUAAGUUCCUCAUUUUCAUUUGAGACCUUCUAAGUCUGGCUUUCACUCACCAUUUUCCUGUGAGCCUUCUGGUCACAAGUAUGUAACAAUUCUUUACAAAGAUCCAAACUUUCCCUCAACUUCUUGUCUGCAAAGCCCUCCAAACUCUCUGAACUCUGUCUGCUACCCCCUUCUGAACCUGCUUCUACAUUAUCAGCUAUCUUUGCUGCAGCCUGACAAUGUAGUAAGGGAAGACAAGUCCAUUUUCAGGGGGAAAAUUCAAGAAGGGUUCAGAGACUUCAAUGAAAAGAAGCUGAGUGCUCACUCCCAAGACAAUAGGGAAAAGGCCUUGAAGACAUUUAAUAGACCCACUUUGCAGUACUAAUUUUCUCUAUGAUCAUAAAGAAGAGGUUUACUUGGCUCAUGAUUCUGCAGGCUAUAAGGAAGUAUAGUGGCUUCUACAUCUAAGAGGAAUCAGGAAGCCUCCCAGUCAUACCAGAAUGUCAAGGGGCAAUGAGAUGAUUCAUGUGGCAGGAGGAGGAGCAAGACAGGGAGAGGAGAGAGGUCCCACACCCGAUUAUACAACCAGAUCUCAUGAGAACUCACUAUCACAAGGUCAGCAUCACAAAGAUGGUGCUUAACCACUGGUGAAGGAUUCACCCCCUACCCCCAACUCCCACUAUUUCCAGGCAGAAGCCUGAGGCAGAGGCAGAGCCUCUUGGAAAACUCUACUAGGGAAGUGUGGAAGGGAAAUAUGGGCUUGGAGCACCCACACAGAUGGCCACCAACCUCCAGACCCCAGAUUCAUAGACCCACCAACAGCUCACACCUUGUGUGGAAAAGCUACAGGCACUCAACACCAGCCCAGCCCAUGAGAGCUGCGGCAGGGGCUAAACCCUGCAAAGCCACAGGUGCAUUGCCCUAGUAGAGGGUUUCCCAUGAGCCUCUGCCUCUGCAGCAGGCUGCUCCC